UGGGGAAUAUUGGACAAUGGGGGCAACCCUGAUCCAGCCAUGCCGCGUGAGUGAUGAAGGCCCUAGGGUUGUAAAGCUCUUUUGUGCGGGAAGAUAAUGACGGUACCGCAAGAAUAAGCCCCGGCUAACUUCGUGCCAGCAGCCGCGGUAAUACGAAGGGGGCUAGCGUUGCUCGGAAUCACUGGGCGUAAAGGGUGCGUAGGCGGGUUUCUAAGUCAGAGGUGAAAGCCUGGAGCUCAACUCCAGAACUGCCUUUGAUACUGGAAGUCUUGAGUAUGGCAGAGGUNAGUGGAACUGCGAGUGUAGAGGUGAAAUUCGUAGAUAUUCGCAAGAACACCAGUGGCGAAGGCGGCUCACUGGGCCAUUACUGACGCUGAGGCACGAAAGCGUGGGGAUCAAACAGGAUUAGAUACCCUGGUAGUCCACGCCGUAAACGAUGAAUCGCCAGCCGUUAGUGGGUUUUACUCACUAGUGGCGCAGCUAACGCUUUAAGCAUUCCGCCUGGGGAGUACGGUCGCAAUAUUAAAACUCAAAUGAAUUGACGGGGUCAUAGCUGUUUCCU
This 562-nucleotide ribosomal RNA is filed under the name uncultured bacterium. RNAcentral describes it as "partial 16S ribosomal RNA". It matches the Rfam family "Bacterial small subunit ribosomal RNA", at positions 355 to 1375 of the family's 1533-position model. The record is from RNAcentral.